This is a transfer RNA of 72 nucleotides. It matches the Rfam family "tRNA". From Rfam's summary of the family: Transfer RNA (tRNA) molecules are approximately 80 nucleotides in length. The record is from Rfam.
AGCAAGUUGGCGCAGUGGAAGCGCGCCGGGCUCAUAACCCGGAGGUCCCCAGAUCGAAACUGGGACUUGCUA